CACGUAGGUGGCAAGCGUUGUCCGGAUUUGUUGGGCGUAAAGGGAACGCAGGCGGUUUUUUAAGUCUGAUGUGAAAGCCUUCGGCUUAACCGGAGAAGUGCAUCGGAAGCUGGGAAACUUGAGUGCAGAAAAGGACAGUGGAACUCCAUGUGUAGCGGUGAAAUGCGUAGAUAUAUGGAAGAACACCAGUGGCGAAGGCGGCUGUCUGGUCUGUAACUGACGCUGAGGCUCGAAAGUAUGGGUAGCAAAC
Molecule: ribosomal RNA, 250 nt
Filed under: uncultured bacterium
Lineage: Bacteria
Description: partial 16S ribosomal RNA
Rfam family: Bacterial small subunit ribosomal RNA
Source: RNAcentral